UACGGAGGGUCCAAGCGUUAAUCGGAAUUACUGGGCGUAAAGCGCGCGUAGGCGGUUAAGUAAGUCGGAUGUGAAAGCCCAGGGCUCAACCCUGGAAUUGCAUUCGAUACUGCUUGACUAGAGUAUGGUAGAGGGAAGUGGAAUUUCAAGUGUAGCGGUGAAAUGCGUAGAUAUUUGAAGGAACACCAGUGGCGAAGGCGACUUCCUGGGCCAAUACUGACGCUGAGGUGCGAAAGCGUGGGGAGCGAAC
RNAcentral lists this ribosomal RNA (250 nucleotides) under uncultured bacterium. Its description in RNAcentral is "partial 16S ribosomal RNA". It matches the Rfam family "Bacterial small subunit ribosomal RNA", at positions 524 to 773 of the family's 1533-position model. The record is from RNAcentral.